Mastomys coucha (southern multimammate mouse) is the source of this 560-nucleotide non-coding RNA. The record is from the annotation of a RefSeq genome assembly. Lineage: Eukaryota; Metazoa; Chordata; Mammalia; Rodentia; Muridae.
GCAGAGCAAACACACUCACACAGAAGGACGUGUGCCACAUGCCUCCUCAGAGCCUGCUCUGUGUGCUGGUGGCCUUAGCUUUCUCUGGAUAUAAUGUGGCCGAGAAAGUGACUCAGGUUCAGUCAAUGGCAAGCAGUCAGUGGGGAGAAAAAGUCACUGUGGACUGUUCAUAUGAGACAAGUCAACUCUUUUAUCAUCUAUUUUGGUACAAGCAGCUUCUUAGUGGAGAACUGGUUUUCCUUAUUCGCCAAAUAUCUUCUUCUACUGCAAAAGAGAGUAGCGGCCGCUAUUCUGUAGUCUUCCAGCGAUCAUUCAAGUCCAUCAGCCUUGUCAUUUCAGCCUUACAACCAGACGAUUCCGGGAAGUACUUCUGUGCUCUCUGGGAAUUGACACAGUGUUUGAAGUGGCAGCACAAGCUGAACAAAAACUGGGGCUCCUUCAGCAGAGCCCCCCUGAGGGAGGGAGCCCAGCUGAGAAGCACACCUGCACAUCCUGAACAAGAAGGUCCUAACUGUGGAUGCUGCAUCUGUGGUCUGCAUCAGAACUGUGUUUCUAAGUAA